Molecule: ribosomal RNA, 398 nt
Filed under: uncultured bacterium
Lineage: Bacteria
Description: bacterial SSU rRNA
Rfam family: Bacterial small subunit ribosomal RNA
Source: RNAcentral
GGAAUAUUGGACAAUGGGCGAAAGCCUGAUCCAGCAAUGCCGCGUGAGUGAUGAAGGCCUUAGGGUUGUAAAGCUCUUUUACCAGGGAUGAUAAUGACGGUAUCCGGAGAAGAAGCCCCGGCUAACUUCGUGCCAGCAGCCGCGGUAAUACGAAGGGGGCUAGCGUUGUUCGGAAUUACUGGGCGUAAAGCGCACGGAGGCGGGUUUGUAAGUAGAGGGUGAAAUCCCAGGGCUCAACCCUGGAACUGCCUUCUAAACUGCAAGCCUGGAGGUCAGGAGAGUCGAGUGGAAUACCGAGUGUAGAGGUGAAAUUCGUAGAUAUUCGGUGGAACACCAGUGGCGAAGGCGACUCGCUGGACUGAUACUGACGCUGAGGUGCGAAAGCGUGGGGAGCAAAC